RNAcentral lists this ribosomal RNA (271 nucleotides) under uncultured bacterium. Its description in RNAcentral is "partial 16S ribosomal RNA". It matches the Rfam family "Bacterial small subunit ribosomal RNA", at positions 335 to 603 of the family's 1533-position model. The record is from RNAcentral.
UAUCCUACGGGAGGCAGCAGUGAGGAAUAUUGGUCAAUGGGCGCGAGCCUGAACCAGCCAAGCCGCGUGAGGGAAGACGGCCCUAUGGGUUGUAAACCUCUUUUGUCGGAGAACAAAACCCGGGACGUGUCCCGGACUGCGUGUAUCCGAAGAAAAAGCAUCGGCUAACUCCGUGCCAGCAGCCGCGGUAAUACGUAGGUGGCAAGCGUUAUCCGGAUUUAUUGGGCGUAAAGGGAACGCAGGCGGUCUUUUAAGUCUGAUGUGAAAGCCU